CAGUAGCCGCGGUAAUACGUAGGUGGCAAGCGUUGUCCGGAAUUAUUGGGCGUAAAGGGCUCGCAGGCGGUUCCUUAAGUCUGAUGUGAAAGCCCCCGGCUCAACCGGGGAGGGUCAUUGGAAACUGGGAAACUUGAGUGCAGAAGAGGAGAGUGGAAUUCCACGUGUAGCGGUGAAAUGCGUAGAGAUGUGGAGGAGCACCAGUGGCGAAGGCGACUCUCUGGUCUGUAACUGACGCUGAGGAGCGAAAGCGUGGGGAGCGAACAGGAUUAGAUACCCGUGUAGUCCCUGUCUCUUAUAA
Molecule: ribosomal RNA, 301 nt
Filed under: uncultured bacterium
Lineage: Bacteria
Description: partial 16S ribosomal RNA
Rfam family: Bacterial small subunit ribosomal RNA
Source: RNAcentral